UGAAAAAAAGAAUGACAAGACAUCAUUCAGCAAUGUAAAUAAUGACAUAUAUGAUGUUAAUAAAGUUAAUAAAUCUGAUUCAAAUAGUAAUACUGACUUGGCAUGGACAAAUGUUGAGUUGCUAAACAACGGCGUGUUAGAUGAUGAUAAUAAUAGUAACAACAAUAGUAACAUGAAAGAUAGUAGUAACAAUAAUAAUAAUGAUAAUAAUAGUAAUAAAGACAAAAAUAUUAUUUCGAAGUAUGGACUAGUUAGGCAUAAUAGCGAUGACAGUGUUAAUGCCAAAAGUAAUGAUAAGCAAACGGUUAAUACAAAAGAAAGCAUUAUUAUUGAUAACAUUAAUGAUAGUAUAAAUAAUAAAAAUAAAAAUUCUGACAUAUUUUUAUCAAAUAUUAAUGAAUCUUUUGUUGACUUAUUAACAUCUAAUGACAAUAGUAAUAAUAAUAAAAAUACAUGUAAUGUUAAUAAAUCAAAUGAUGUUUUUGAUAAUGUAAAUAGUAUGUGUAAUAAAAGAAAACACAAAGAAACAGGUAUUAAUUGUAUUUAUACAGAAAUAAAUGAUGUAAAUGUUUUGACUCUUAGUAAUAACUUGCCUAUUUCUGAUAUUGAAAAUAAUACAAAUAAACCAAUAUAUAAUGAUUCAAGUAAAAAUAAUAUAAGACAUGGUAGCAACAAUGACAAUCAUAAUGACAAUCAUAAUGACAAUCACAAUAUGAGUAAUGUCACAUUUUUAAAUGACAACAUUUGUAAUGAUACUUAUAAUGAAAUAAACGACGAAAGUAGUAUCGAUGUGCAUACAAAGUCAUAUGAAGCAACAAUAAAUAAGAAUUUAUAUUCAAACAAUAGAAAUAUGUUUUUAAAAAAAGAAGAAGAACAUAAAAUAAUUAAUAAAAACGUAAUCGUAAAUGAUCAUAGCAUAUCUUGCAUACACAAUUAUAAUAAUAGUAAUAAUAAUAAUAAUAAUAAUGAUGACAAUAAUAUAUUGAAAAAAAGAAAAACAUAUAAUAUGUAUGAUAAAGAUGAUGAAAAAAAUAACUUUUUGAGUGAUAAAAAUAUAAACAGCUUACCACUAUCACUUGUUAAUAAAAAAGUAAAAUAUAAUAGCUUAAUGAAUAUAAAUAUAAAUAAUUCUACUUUGUGUACAAAAGAAAAUGAAAUUAUAAAUAAAAAUGAAAAAAUUUUCACAUGUCAUGAUGAAAAUAUGUUUAACAUGUUAGACAGUAUUAACAAAAACAGAGAGGAUGAUAUAGACGUAGAUCAACCGUUAAAAGGAUGUAACAUAAUUGAUGAUGUUAAUGAUAACGAUAGUGCUAGCAAUGUUAGUUAUAACACUUGUGCAAGUAACUACGAGAAUCAUAACAUAUACAGUAGUAAUAAUGUUAACUAUAGUAUGGAUACAGAAAUGAAAGAACAAACUAAAUUACAAGGUAUUGUUGAAAAUAAUUUAGAUAUAGAUAUGGAAAAAAAUACAGAAGAAAUAAAUACAGAAGAAAUAAAUACAGAAGAAAUAAAUACAGAAGAAAUAAAUACAGCAGAAAUAAAUACAGAAGAAAUAAAUACAACAGAAAUAAGUACAGCAGAAAUAAAUAAAAAUUCGGAUACAAUUGGUAAUGAUAUGUAUAUAAAAAAAAUUGAAUCCAUAAUUAAAAAUGGAGUAGUUAAACAGCUAGAAAAAGAACAAAAUAAAAAAGACAUUAUAAAUGAUAGAUCUAUUGAUUAUAGAAGCAUAUCACUAGAAGUAGAAGGGUUAAGCGAAGUGGUGGAUUCAGAAACAGGCGAUGAUAAGAAAGUAUUAAAUAGUGUUGAUCAUGAAGUUGUAACUGAUAGUUAUCACAAAAUUCAGAAUGAGGAGUUGAAUAAUAAUACAAAAGUGUUGGGUAGUAGCUUAAAAGAAUCACUGGAAAGUGAUAUAGUAUCAAGUUGUAAUGUCAAAAAUAAUCAAACUACUAAUUUUAUGGAUAUACAUAAUGAGAAUAUAAACAAUGUUGUUGUAGAUGUAAAAAAUGUGAAUAAUAAAAUAUCAAAUUAUGACAUGAAAAAUGAAUUAAAUUAUAUACACACAAGCACUGCUACCGCUCUUACUAACGAUUCUGCGUCUCCUAUUAGUGGCUCUGCAUCUCCUAUCAAUGAUUGUCACAACGACAGUAGUAACAUCAACGGUAGUAGUAAAACUAGUAGUAGUAGUAGUAGUAGUAAAAAAAGUAGUAAUAAAAAAAGUAGUAACAACAAAAGUAACAACAAAAGUAACAACAAUUAUAGUACUUAUUAUGACGAAGAAGAAGCAAUAACAGGGACAUGUUCCAGAAUGGAAGACGAAGAAGAAACAGAAUUUGGUUACACAACUAACAAGUAUAUACAGUGGUUUGAUACAAUUUAUACUGUAUGUUUUAAAUUAGAUGAUUUAUGUUGCAAAUUAAGUAGCAGUUUCCCACACUCAAUGAGCAUAUGGGAAAAUAGUGGAAAGACAAAUAUGUACGAAUUAAAAUCACUUUUUCAUAAAAAUUAUGCAAAGAAUAGUAAUAGUGGUACAUGUAAUAGGACAAGUCAAAUUAAUUCCAACCACAAACAUAUACCUCAUGAAGAUAUAAACCAUGACACCUGUAAUUAUAGUAACAAGUGUUACUACGAUGAAAAUGACAAUGACAAUAAUUAUAAUAACUCUGUUUUGUGUGCAAAAGGAGAAGGGGGAAGAGAAGUAAUAGAUCAAAACAAUUAUUUUAUGAAAUGUGGUCGUAAUAAUAAUGAAAAUCGUAUAAACAAUAUGAACGAUGUUAGUACUAAACCUUAUAAUUUAAAAAAUAUGUAUUUAAAAAAAAAUUCAGAUAAUCAUUCAAAUAAUAUGAAUAACUCUAAACAUUGUUUUGGUUAUACUAAACAUGAUAAUAUAUUUAGAACAAAAGGAAACAAAAAUAACAACAGUAGUAGUCAUGGAAAUACUGGUAAAAGUGUUAACAUAAAGAAUGAUUAUAUACCUAACGAUUUUAAUAUGUAUGACAAUCAUAACAUAAAAAACUUAGCUCAAGAAGAAAAUGAUAUAAUUUACAAUAACAGUAGUAAUAAAGUCAGUUGUCAUGUUAGUAGUAACAGUAGCAGUUAUAGUAAUAGCACUAAUAAUGAUAAUAAUAAUAAUAAUAAUAACAAUCUUAUUAAUAAAAUGAAAAAUUUUAAUAGCAUAAAUCAUCAAGAUGAUCAUAUAGUUAAUGACUUAAUUAAUAAAAACAAAUAUGAUUUGUUACAGUUGUAUAAUAAUAGUAAUGGUAGUAAUAAUAAUGGUUGUAUAUACAAUGGAAAUGGAAAUAACAUGAACAAUGAAAAUGAUAAUUACGAACAAAAAAAAAAAAAUUAUAAUACUCAAUCAAAUUUAAUAUAUAACAAAUAUAUGAUAAACAAUAAUAGCAAUAAUAAUGAUGAUUUAUCAAAUAAUAGUAUUAAAAAAAAUAAUAAGAACUUACCUACUUUUUAUGAUAAUAAUUUAAAAGUUGCCAAUUCGAAUUUAGGUACUUAUAUAAUUGAUAGGAAUAUGAAACUAAUGCAAAAUAAUAAUGAACGAAUGGGAUACAACAAUAAUAUGGAAUAUAUUGGAUAUGACUUAGAAAAUCAUACUUUUUAUAAAGGCAAUAGUGGUAGUAGUAAUAAUAAUAAUAUGGUUAGUAGUAGUAGUAGUAAUAAUAAUAAUAAAAAAAAAAAAAUAAUGAAAAAAAAUACUAUUGGUGGUAAUUCUACAUCUAACAUACAUGGUAAUAAAAUUAUAGAAAAAAAGACAUCUAAAAAGAAUGGAAAUAAGAAUGACAGUAAUAAUAAUAAUAAAAUUAGUAGUAAUAGUAGUAAUACAAGUAAAAAUACAGUACCAUCUGUAAAUAGUAAUAACACUAGUUAUACUAAUACCACAACAAGUAGUAAUAGUUAUAAUAAUAAAGUAAUAAAAAGUGAAAGUGAGUAUGAAUAUUUACUUAAGUUAUCAGAUAGGUAUGGACCAGAUCUAGAUAAUCCAGAUGAUUUGAAAUGUGAUGUUGCUGGAGUAUAUUGGGAUAAAAGGAGUUGGAUAGCAUCAUGGUAUGAAAAUGGUAGACGUUAUUAUAAAUCUUUUUCAGCUAAAACUCAUGGGUUUUACAAGUCGAAAUUUUGGGCUAUAAAAGUAAGACUAUCAAAAGUAAAAAGUCAAACGAUUUCACCUAAAAAUUGUAAAAAAAAUAAAACAAACUCAGUUUCGGCUGUUAACAUUACCAGUGUUACACCGAGCGAAGCUUUCCCGCAAAAUGAAGCGACAAUAACAGAUGAUGUACUAAUAUCAGACAAUGUUGCUAUAAAAAAAGAUAUUAUUACAAAUGAUACCAUUAAAAAGGAUGUUACUAAAAAUGAUGUUAUUAAAAAUGAUAUUAUUAAAAAUGAUGUUAUUAAAAAUGAUGUUAUUAAAAAUGAUGUUACUACCGUGGGAAGUACUAACAGCACAACUAGUUUUACAAAUUAUAGCAACUCCAAUAACAACAUGUUGAAUCAUGUUAAUUCAUAUCCAAAUCCGAUAACUGCUGAAAACAUUGAUAAUAAUGAUAAUACCACUAAAAAUAACAACAGAAACGUGGUUACUAGUAAUAUAUAAACUUUCGAAUUAUGAGUAUUUGUGUAUACACAUAUAUACAUAUAUUAUACAUAUAUACACAUAGUGAAAAAAUUGCGCUUUAGCACUAACAGCGCUACAUUAUAUUAAUUCCGAAAUAAAAAUUUAAUAUAAAAGAAGUAGACUUAAAAC
This 4747-nucleotide long non-coding RNA is filed under the name Piliocolobus tephrosceles (Ugandan red Colobus). RNAcentral describes it as "lncRNA (ENSPTEG00000002603.1)". The record is from RNAcentral. Lineage: Eukaryota; Metazoa; Chordata; Mammalia; Primates; Cercopithecidae.